AGUCAGGGAUUGACAUGGGGGCACCCUGAUCAGCACGCCCGUGGUGAAGAAGGCCCUCGGGCUGUAAACCCAUCUGGGUGGGAAGCUGAUGACGGUACCACCCGAAUAGUCCCGGCUAACUACGUGCCAGCAGCCGCGGUAAAACGUAGGGGACAAGCGCUCUCCGGACCUCCUGGGCGUAAAGCGCCCGUAGGCGGCCUUGAUAAGCCUGGACGUGAAAGCUCCUUGGCUUUAACUUGGGAGAGGUCGUUCAGGACCUGUCAGGCUUAGAGGCCUGAAAGAAGGAACGUGGAAUUUUCCGGUGUAGUGGUGGAAAUGCGUAGAUAUCGGGAGGAACACCAUUGGCGAAAGCGGCGUUCUGUUUCAGCCCUUGACGUUUGAGGGGCGAAAGCGUGGGUUAGCGAACGGGACUAGAUACCCCGGUAGUCCACGCUUGUAAACGAUGUUACUAGGUGUAGGCGGUUACAAACCCCGUCUGUGCCGAAGCCAACGCUUUAAGUAUCCCGCCUGGGGAGUACGACCGCAAGUCA
This 530-nucleotide ribosomal RNA is filed under the name uncultured bacterium. Its description in RNAcentral is "bacterial SSU rRNA". It matches the Rfam family "Bacterial small subunit ribosomal RNA", at positions 353 to 896 of the family's 1533-position model. The record is from RNAcentral.